GAUGAACGCUAGCGGCAGGCCUAAUACAUGCAAGUCGUGGGCUGUCAUGGUAGCAAUACCAUGAUAACCGGCGGACGGGUGCGUAACACGUACGCAACCUACCCCUUACUGGAGGAUAGCUCUCGGAAACGGGAAUUAAUACUCCAUAAUGUCCUAUUGGGGCAUCUUGAUAGGAUUAAAGCCGCGAGGCGGUAAGGGAUGGGCGUGCGGCCGAUUAGCUAGUUGGUGAGGUAAUGGCUCACCAAGGCUAUGAUCGGUAGGGGAACUGAGAGGUUGGUCCCCCACACGGGCACUGAGACACGGGCCCGACUCCUACGGGAGGCAGCAGUAGGGAAUAUUGGACAAUGGGCGAAAGCCCGAUCCAGCCAUGCCGCGUGCAGGACGAAGGCCCUAUGGGUUGUAAACUGCUUUUGCAGAGGAGAAAUAAGGCCGAUUUAUCGGUCGAUGAUAGUACUCUGCGAAUAAGCAUCGACUAACUUCGUGCCAGCAGCCGCGGUAAGACGAAGGAUGCGAGCGUUAUCCGGAUUCACUG
This 532-nucleotide ribosomal RNA is filed under the name uncultured bacterium. Its description in RNAcentral is "bacterial SSU rRNA". It matches the Rfam family "Bacterial small subunit ribosomal RNA", at positions 28 to 556 of the family's 1533-position model. The record is from RNAcentral.